GAUGAACGCUGGCGGCGUGCCUAAUACAUGCAAGUCGAGCGAACAGACGAGGAGCUUGCUCCUUCGACGUUAGCGGCGGACGGGUGAGUAACACGUAGGUAACCUACCUAUAAGACUGGGAUAACUUCGGGAAACCGGAGCUAAUACCGGAUAAUAUUUCGAACCGCAUGGUUCGAUAGUGAAAGAUGGCUUUGCUAUCACUUAUAGAUGGACCUGCGCCGUAUUAGCUAGUUGGUAAGGUAACGGCUUACCAAGGCAACGAUACGUAGCCGACCUGAGAGGGUGAUCGGCCACACUGGAACUGAGACACGGUCCAGACUCCUACGGGAGGACGCAGUAGGGAAUCUUCCGCAAUGGGCGAAAGCCUGACGGAGCAACGCCGCGUGAGUGAUGAAGGUCUUCGGAUCGUAAAACUCUGUUAUUAGGGAAGAACAAACGUGUAAGUAACUGUGCACGUCUUGACGGUACCUAAUCAGAAAGCCACGGCUAACUACGUG
This 497-nucleotide ribosomal RNA is filed under the name uncultured bacterium. RNAcentral describes it as "partial 16S ribosomal RNA". It matches the Rfam family "Bacterial small subunit ribosomal RNA", at positions 28 to 507 of the family's 1533-position model. The record is from RNAcentral.